RNAcentral lists this non-coding RNA (24 nucleotides) under Arabidopsis thaliana (thale cress). The record is from RNAcentral. Lineage: Eukaryota; Viridiplantae; Streptophyta; Magnoliopsida; Brassicales; Brassicaceae.
GGUGCUGAAGGAGAGAUUAGACGU